RNAcentral lists this ribosomal RNA (643 nucleotides) under uncultured bacterium. RNAcentral describes it as "bacterial SSU rRNA". It matches the Rfam family "Bacterial small subunit ribosomal RNA", at positions 187 to 848 of the family's 1533-position model. The record is from RNAcentral.
GCAUCUUCUGAGGAAGAAAGGAUUUAUUCGGUACAGGAUGGGCCCGCAUCUGAUUAGCUAGUUGGUGAGAUAACAGCCCACCAAGGCGACGAUCAGUAGCCGACCUGAGAGGGUGAUCGGCCACAUUGGGACUGAGACACGGCCCAAACUCCUACGGGAGGCAGCAGUGGGGAAUAUUGCACAAUGGGCGAAAGCCUGAUGCAGCAACGCCGCGUGAAGGAUGAAGGGUUUCGGCUCGUAAACUUCUAUCAAUAGGGAAGAGACAAAUGACGGUACCUAAAUAAGAAGCCCCGGCUAACUACGUGCCAGCAGCCGCGGUAAUACGUAGGGGGCAAGCGUUAUCCGGAAUUACUGGGUGUAAAGGGAGCGUAGGCGGCAUGGUAAGCCAGAUGUGAAAGCCUUGGGCUUAACCCGAGGAUUGCAUUUGGAACUAUCAAGCUAGAGUACAGGAGAGGAAAGCGGAAUUCCUAGUGUAGCGGUGAAAUGCGUAGAUAUUAGGAAGAACACCAGUGGCGAAGGCGGCUUUCUGGACUGAAACUGACGCUGAGGCUCGAAAGCGUGGGGAGCAAACAGGAUUAGAUACCCUGGUAGUCCACGCCGUAAACGAUGAGUGCUAGGUGUCGGGGAGGAAUCCUCGGUGCCG